This 346-nucleotide transfer-messenger RNA is filed under the name Salmonella enterica subsp. enterica serovar Braenderup. RNAcentral's name for it is "partial transfer-messenger RNA". It matches the Rfam family "transfer-messenger RNA". From Rfam's summary of the family: Bacterial tmRNA, also known as 10Sa RNA or SsrA, is named for its dual tRNA and mRNA-like properties. Its role is to liberate the mRNA from a stalled ribosome. The record is from RNAcentral. Lineage: Bacteria; Pseudomonadati; Pseudomonadota; Gammaproteobacteria; Enterobacterales; Enterobacteriaceae.
GGGGCUGAUUCUGGAUUCGACGGGAUUUGCGAAACCCAAGGUGCAUGCCGAGGGGCGGUUGGCCUCGUAAAAAGCCGCAAAAAAAUAGUCGCAAACGACGAAAACUACGCUUUAGCAGCUUAAUAACCUGCUUAGAGCCCUCUCUCCCUAGCCUCCGCUCUUAGGACGGGGAUCAAGAGAGGUCAAACCCAAAAGAGAUCGCGCGGAUGCCCUGCCUGGGGUUGAAGCGUUAAAACGAAUCAGGCUAGUCUGGUAGUGGCGUGUCCGUCCGCAGGUGCCAGGCGAAUGUAAAGACUGACUAAGCAUGUAGUACCGAGGAUGUAGGAAUUUCGGACGCGGGUUCAAC